This 253-nucleotide ribosomal RNA is filed under the name uncultured bacterium. Its description in RNAcentral is "partial 16S ribosomal RNA". It matches the Rfam family "Bacterial small subunit ribosomal RNA", at positions 524 to 776 of the family's 1533-position model. The record is from RNAcentral.
UACGUAGGGCGCAAGCGUUAUCCGGAAUUAUUGGGCGUAAAGAGCUCGUAGGCGGUUUGUCGCGUCUGCCGUGAAAGUCCGGGGCUCAACUCCGGAUCUGCAGUGGGUACGGGCAGACUAGAGUGCGGUAGGGGAGAUUGGAAUUCCUGGUGUAGCGGUGAAAUGCGCAGAUAUCAGGAGGAACACCGGUGGCGAAGGCGGGUCUCUGGGCCGUAACUGACGCUGAGGAGCGAAAGCGUGGGGAGCGAACAGG